UACGUAGGGUGCAAGCGUUGUCCGGAAUUAUUGGGCGUAAAGAGCUCGUAGGCGGUCUGUUGCGUCGGCUGUGAAAACCCGGGGCUCAACCCCGGGCCUGCAGCCGAUACGGGCAGACUAGAGUUCGGCAGGGGAGACUGGAAUUCCUGGUGUAGCGGUGAAAUGCGCAGAUAUCAGGAGGAACACCGGUGGCGAAGGCGGGUCUCUGGGCAGAUCCUGACGCUGAGGAGCGAAAGCGUGGGGAGCAAACAGG
RNAcentral lists this ribosomal RNA (253 nucleotides) under uncultured bacterium. Its description in RNAcentral is "partial 16S ribosomal RNA". It matches the Rfam family "Bacterial small subunit ribosomal RNA", at positions 524 to 776 of the family's 1533-position model. The record is from RNAcentral.